Molecule: ribosomal RNA, 253 nt
Filed under: uncultured bacterium
Lineage: Bacteria
Description: partial 16S ribosomal RNA
Rfam family: Bacterial small subunit ribosomal RNA
Source: RNAcentral
UACGUAGGGUGCGAGCGUUAAUCGGAGUUACUGGGCGUAAAGCGUGCGCAGGCGGUUUUGUAAGCCAGAUGUGAAAUCCCCGGGCUUAACCUGGGAAUGGCAUUUGGGACUGCAAGGCUGGAGUUUGGCAGAGGAGACUGGAAUUCCCGGUGUAGCAGUGAAAUGCGUAGAUAUCUGGAGGAAUACCGGUGGCGAAGGCGGCAUCCUGGACCGACAUUGACGCUGAGGAGCGAAAGCCAGGGGAGCAAACGGG